UCUUAUUCAACAAAAACACCAUCAAUACAAAGGAUCCCAUUGUUGAUAUUCUAACAUAUUUCCUAACCCAACAAGUGAGAUUUUCCCCUUGUUGAUCGGAAUUUUUAGCUGUUUCGGUUUUUAAUCUAAAAAGGGCACAAACAAACGGUCCGAGCACGACCACAUAAACUUCAUCAACUGUGCACACACGACCUAGGGGCAGCAGUUGCAGAAGGGAACCCUACUUACAAUUUUGGUCAGAUUGAAUGAUGGAUUCUGGACCAAAAGACAUUAAAUGUGCCACAUACAAUCUCCAUCUCCCCUUUCUCUCUCUACAUAGGACCCAAAAUCUGUAACCAGAUCAUCGCUCUCAUACAAUCAAUUGUGUAUGACAUAAAUGUGGGUCUUGCUGGGGUGGGUGGCUGUUCCUCUGAACCUGUUUCUGCUGCCCUGACCCGACGCUCCCACACCCCCACCCCACCCCACCCCAUUGGCUCUCAGAUUGAUAGAUAGAGCAGAUGGGCUCAAAAAUCCCCAAGAAUGAUUUAUUUGUCCUGCCUGCAAAACCCAAAUUUCAAAUUCGCAAGAUUCAACGUUAGCAGAAACUGACGAGGAAAUUGACAUGAUGGUCAUAAAUAUCGAAGAACCAAAAACCGAAAAACAGAAGAGGGCCAAGCCAGGAUCAGACCAGACUGCCGAGGACGAACAAUUUUGAGUGGACCACAUGCCCCCCCUCCUUUUCCCCUCAAUUUCUGUCGAUUUUCUC
This 745-nucleotide long non-coding RNA is filed under the name Eucalyptus grandis. Its description in RNAcentral is "long non-coding RNA (EGRA_LNC005737)". The record is from RNAcentral. Lineage: Eukaryota; Viridiplantae; Streptophyta; Magnoliopsida; Myrtales; Myrtaceae.